This 492-nucleotide ribosomal RNA is filed under the name uncultured bacterium. Its description in RNAcentral is "partial 16S ribosomal RNA". It matches the Rfam family "Bacterial small subunit ribosomal RNA", at positions 29 to 507 of the family's 1533-position model. The record is from RNAcentral.
AGUGAACGCUGGCGGUAGGCCUAACACAUGCAAGUCGAACGGCAGCACAGUAAUAGCUUGCUCUUACGGGUGGCGAGUGGCGGACGGGUGAGGUAUACAUCGGAAUCUACUUUUUCGUGGGGGAUAACGUAGGGAAACUUACGCUAAUACCGCAUACGACCUUCGGUUGAAAGCAGGGGAUCUUCUGACCUUGCGCGAUUGAAUGAGCCGAUGUCGGAUUAGCUAGUUGGCGGGUUAAAGGCCCACCAAGGCGACGAUCCGUAGCUGGUCUGAGAGGAUGAUCAGACACACGGGAACUGAGACACGGAACAGACUACUAAGGGAGGCAGCAGUGGGGAAUAUUGGACAAUGGGCGCAAGCCUGAUCCAGCAAUACCGCGUGGGUGAAGAAGGACUUCGGGUUGUAAAGCCCUUUUGUUGGGAAAGAAAAGCAGCAGGUUAAUACCCCGCUGUUCUGACGGUACCCAAAGAAUAAGCACCGGCUAACUUCGUG